CACGUAGGCGGACAUUUAAGUCAGGGUGAAAUCCCAGAGCUCAACUCUGGAACUGCCUUUGAUACUGGGUGUCUAGAGUAUGGAAGAGGUGAGUGGAAUUCCGAGUGUAGAGGUGAAAUUCGUAGAUAUUCGGAGGAACACCAGUGGCGAAGGCGGCUCACUGGUCCAUUACUGACGCUGAGGUGCGAAAGCGUGGGAGCAAACA
Molecule: ribosomal RNA, 205 nt
Filed under: uncultured bacterium
Lineage: Bacteria
Description: partial 16S ribosomal RNA
Rfam family: Bacterial small subunit ribosomal RNA
Source: RNAcentral